Molecule: unclassified non-coding RNA, 285 nt
Filed under: Basidiomycota sp.
Lineage: Eukaryota; Fungi; Basidiomycota
Description: partial contains small subunit ribosomal RNA, internal transcribed spacer 1, and 5.8S ribosomal RNA
Rfam family: Eukaryotic small subunit ribosomal RNA (bases 1-47)
Source: RNAcentral
AAAGUCGUAACAAGGUAUCCGUAGGUGAACCUGCGGAUGGAUCAUUAUCACGUAUCCACGUAUCAACCAUUGUGAACUGUACCUACCUUUGAAAGGAGUAUGAGUGAUAAGAGUUUUUUUGUGUAACAACGAGAAAGCUUUCCUUUCAGAGUGUAUUUUAUCACUUUAAUUAACAAUUUUAACUAAUUAUUAUACUUUUUGUCUGAUAUUAUUUCUUACUCUCUCGGGAGAAGAAAUUCAUUACGAAACAAAGAACAACUCUUAGCAACGGAUAUCUUGGUUCUC